Molecule: ribosomal RNA, 479 nt
Filed under: uncultured bacterium
Lineage: Bacteria
Description: bacterial SSU rRNA
Rfam family: Bacterial small subunit ribosomal RNA
Source: RNAcentral
CUGGCUCAGGAUGAACGCUGGCGGCGUGCCUAACACAUUCAAGUCGAACGAACCGUAGAAAUACGGUGAGUGGCGGACGGGUGAGUAACGCGUAAGCAAUCUGCCUUUGUGUGUGGAAUAACAACCGGAAACAGUUGCUAAUACCGCAUAACGCAGAGAGAUCGCAUGGUCUAUCUGCCAAAGAUUUAUCGCACGAAGAUGGGCUUGCGUCCGAUUAGAUAGUUGGCGGGGUAACGGCCCACCAAGUCGACGAUCGGUAGCCGGACUGAGAGGUUGAACGGCCACAUUGGAACUGAGAUACGGUCCAGACUCCUACGGGAGGCAGCAGUGGGGAAUAUUGGGCAAUGGACGAAAGUCUGAACCCCAGCGACGCCGCGUGAGGGAAGAAGGUCUUCGGAUUGUAAACCUUAGUCAACAGGGACGAAGCAAGUGACGGUACCUGUGGAGGAAGCCACGGCUAACUACGUGCCAGCCGCUGC